ACAACCGGUAGCGAUGGAUCCCUUGGCACGUCAUUCGAUGAAGACCGUUGCAAAUUGCGAUAAAGUGAUGUGAUGCGCAAGUCCACCACUUAUACGUGAAUCAUCGAGUUGUUGAACGCAUUGCACCGCGCCCUAAACCGGCUGCGGUAUGCCCCUUUGAGCGUCAUUGUAUCCCUUCGGGAGUCCUUUUCCAAAGGACCCGAGUUCAGAGUCCUCGGUCCUCUUCUGGAUCGUGUUCUCUUAGAUGCGUCGCACCGAUCGCCUGAUGGGUCCUCUAAUGCCUAAGCGUGGAGUUCCUUCAGAGUCCGAGACGUGCUUGACCGGGUGUUGAGCUCGCGUCGCCAAGUCUGCCUUCACCGGCAGGACUACAACACAUGACCUCAUUGGGGUAGGACAACCCGCUAGACUUAAGCAUAUUAAUCAGCGGAGGAAAAGAAACUAACCAGGAUCCC
RNAcentral lists this ribosomal RNA (452 nucleotides) under uncultured fungus. Its description in RNAcentral is "eukaryotic LSU rRNA". The stretch from base 3 to 166 matches the Rfam family "5.8S ribosomal RNA". Lineage: Eukaryota; Fungi. The record is from RNAcentral.